This 484-nucleotide ribosomal RNA is filed under the name uncultured bacterium. RNAcentral's name for it is "partial 16S ribosomal RNA". It matches the Rfam family "Bacterial small subunit ribosomal RNA", at positions 30 to 507 of the family's 1533-position model. The record is from RNAcentral.
AUUGAACGCUGGCGGCAGGCCUAACACAUGCAAGUCGAGCGGAUGAAGGGAGCUUGCUCCUGGAUUCAGCGGCGGACGGGUGAGUAAUGCCUAGGAAUCUGCCUGGUAGUGGGGGAUAACGUCCGGAAACGGGCGCUAAUACCGCAUACGUCCUGAGGGGGAAAGUGGGGGAUCUUCGGACCUCACGCUAUCAGAUGAGCCUAGGUCGGAUUAGCCAGUUGGUGGGGUAAAGGCCUACCAAGGCGACGAUCCGUAACUGGUCUGAGAGGAUGAUCAGUCACACUGGAACUGAGACACGGUCCAGACUCCUACGGGAGGCAGCAGUGGGGAAUAUUGGACAAUGGGCGAAAGCCUGAUCCAGCCAUGCCGCGUGUGUGAAGAAGGUCUUCGGAUUGUAAAGCACUUUAAGUUGGGAGGAAGGGCAGUAAGUUAAUACCUUGCUGUUUUGACGUUACCAACAGAAUAAGCACCGGCUAACUUCGUG